AUACGUAGGGGGCGAGCGUUGUCCGGAAUGAUUGGGCGUAAAGGGCGCGUAGGCGGCCCGGUAAGUCUGGAGUGAAAGUCCUGUUUUUAAGAUGGGAAUUGCUUUGGAUACUGUCGGGCUUGAGUGCAGGAGAGGUAAGUGGAAUUCCCAGUGUAGCGGUGAAAUGCGUAGAGAUUGGGAGGAACACCAGUGGCGAAGGCGACUUACUGGACUGUAACUGACGCUGAGGCGCGAAAGUGUGGGGAGCAAACAGGAUUAGAUACCCUGGUAGCCCACACUGUAAACGAUGAAUGCUAGGUGUAGGGGGUAUCGACCCCUUCUGUGCCGCAGUCAACACAAUAAGCAUUCCGCCUGGGGAGUACGGCCGCAAGGUUGAAACUCAAAGGAAUUGGCGGGG
This 397-nucleotide ribosomal RNA is filed under the name uncultured bacterium. RNAcentral describes it as "partial 16S ribosomal RNA". It matches the Rfam family "Bacterial small subunit ribosomal RNA", at positions 523 to 918 of the family's 1533-position model. The record is from RNAcentral.